Molecule: ribosomal RNA, 496 nt
Filed under: uncultured bacterium
Lineage: Bacteria
Description: partial 16S ribosomal RNA
Rfam family: Bacterial small subunit ribosomal RNA
Source: RNAcentral
GAUGAACGCUGGCGGCGUGCCUAAUACAUGCAAGUCGAGCGAACAGACGAGGAGCUUGCUCCUCAGACGUUAGCGGCGGACGGGUGAGUAACACGUGGAUAACCUACCUAUAAGACUGGGAUAACUUCGGGAAACCGGAGCUAAUACCGGAUAAUAUAUUGAACCGCAUGGUUCAAUAGUGAAAGACGGUUUUGCUGUCACUUAUAGAUGGAUCCGCGCCGCAUUAGCUAGUUGGUAAGGUAACGGCUUACCAAGGCAACGAUGCGUAGCCGACCUGAGAGGGUGAUCGGCCACACUGGAACUGAGACACGGUCCAGACUCCUACGGGAGGCAGCAGUAGGGAAUCUGCCGCAAUGGGCGAAAGCCUGACGGAGCAACGCCGCGUGAGUGAUGAAGGUCUUCGGAUCGUAAAACUCUGUUAUUAGGGAAGAACAAAUGUGUAAGUAACUAUGCACGUCUUGACGGUACCUAAUCAGAAAGCCACGGCUAACUACGU